UAUUAAUAUAUCUUUAUUAUAUCAUCAUGAAUAAAUAAGAACAACAUCAGGUUACAUUUGUACCUUCAGCUCAACAGAAGGUGGAAAGUCCAAGCGUGACGCACAAGUGAAUACAAGUCAGCGUGAACAGUACAUGGAUACUGUUCAUCUAUUUAUAAGCACAGGGCGUAGCCUGUGUGAAAUUACAUUCAUGCCCUUCAUGCUUACUAUUGACCUAAGAACAAUCUGUCGGGGACAAGAUAGCCUUUUCCUCCUUAAGUCGGUUCCUUUUUCUGCUACUGAGCUGAAGCUCACUUGCGUAGCUUCGGCGCUGGUUCAGCCUUUGUUCCGACCCUGCUCCCAUAUUGUGUACAGCUUCAUCCUGUGUCCGAAGGUGCCUGUCUGCAUAUUACACUUGGGAAACAUUGUUAAUCAUGUUUUUGAGGACCUUCGAGAGACGAAGGCCCCCAACACUAAGUGUAAGUAAAUACCAAACCAUAAUAAUAACAAUAGAACAAAAUUAAUAAUAAACCCAUGCAUAUGCAAAUGACAAAUUGAGUUUAAGUUUCAUAAUUUAAUCAUGCGAGAGUCCUGAGCUGCUCAUGACCGUGAGCUCGGCUAGUAUACCAGUUUUACACUCUACAGAGGUUGUACCCUAUACCGACAAGUCGUGUAUCCCAUGUCGCCAGGGUUAGCUAGAUCCUUAGACACUUCUGAGGUGAAUGGCUAGGGAUCCACUACGAGGCCUUUAUAAAGUUCCACUAGCUUUCGAAAACCCACUACAGUUUAUGGGAAGAGCACUUGCAAGAAUCCCCCGUCUGACCGCCAUCGCAGCAAAAUCAACCUGAGAACCUCCUUGCAUGCAAUCCCCUACUGCCCUUGCCCCUUUCGGGUAAUGUAGUCUUCCACUAGCUUUCCUAGUUAGUUGGCCAAGGGAGUCCCAUUAAACCCUUGUGGUGGCCCGUGUUUCUCAAGUUAAGCUCCACGUUCCAAUUAACAUUUAAUGAUCUUGACAUGAACAUAAGUAAAAUAACAAAAUAACUGGAACAUGAAUAUAAUAUAAUAUUAUCCCAAAACCAUGUAAAGUAAUAGCAAAACUACCCAAGUGAUUAAGGGGUAAACAAGGUAAACAGGAUAAACAGACUAGGGUGACCUAUUGGGUCCCAUCAAAAUUAAACCUAUGCAUUGAAUAGUGAUAAUAAAGAACAUUAUUGGGUAACAAAAGUGGAUCAAGGGCACAACUUGCCUUCAAUGAGCUGCUGCUCAGCUACUUCUAUCUGAUGGGCACUAGGAUCCUCAAUCACAGGCUCUUCUACUCGCCACAAUACAAACAAGCACAGUAUAUAGAGACAAUUAACAUCACACUAAACAUAUAAACAAAAUACACAGUAAUAAUCUACACAUUAAAAUAAAAUCCUAGGAACAGGAAUCAUAAUUUUUGGAGUUAUAGAUUUUAAGAUAUGAAUUUCCAAAGGUUUUAUGUGCGUAAAAUAGGAUUAAGUGAGAAAUUAUUUUUCUUACUGUUUUCAUGUCAAAACAGAGACUCUAAGUGGUAGAGAAUAAUAUUACAAAAUUUUAGAAACUGGAAUGGGUCAAUUUGAACUAAAAAUGGAUUUUAUAUGAUUUAAUCAAGUUCUAGCAUAAAUUUUUUUUAUUAAAAAUCUAUUUUCCAAUUCAAUUAUUCAAUUUAAAACCGCACUGGACUGGGCCUCAUUUUCUGGAAAGUGCAGGGGUCACGGGGUAACUUUUCCUGGACACAGAGAACAGGGUCCCUACACUGCGGGUUGAAAUCUAGGAAGUAUAGGGUCUCUUUAGAAAGCGUGUAAGGCCGAAGGGGUAUCCAUCAAUGUGGACCGUUUGAUCUAAAAUCUGAGAUCCUGAUCAGAUGAGCCAAACCCUAUGGUCACAGCCGCCGGAUCCUAAUCGGACGUUCCUGGUGCUACCUAGCCUGGUCACACCCGCCUUUCACUCUCUGUCGUUGGAUCCGAGAUCCGUGUCUGGUAUCUGAUCACGCCACCGCUUGAUCUCGGCCGCAAGAUGGGAAUCACAUGUUGCAAAUCGCAUAGCGUGGAUGCGGUAUUCCCCGCCUAAUCACAGCCGUUAGUCUGAAAUCCCACGGACACUGACCUUCUUCUCCAUCGUUCGCAUGCACACAACGCGUCCCGACGCACCGGAGCUCUCACCGGCGACGGGGAGCGCCACCAAUCGUUCUCUUGCCAAAGCUCGUCCCCUCCCAGGCGCCCCAUCCAGGAUCCCGAAAUCCGAUGCUGCCCAACGCUAUACGCCGAGCAGCACCCAGGUUCUACCUCGGCCACACAUGAAUUGACGACGAGGAGAGAGAAAGGGAGUUUGAGGUGGUGCCAUACCGCAAGCUUGCCCGACCGUAAAGCUCCUGUUUGAACGCUCUCACACUCCCCCGUGGUCUCGCCCAGCAGCCGAGGGUAGGCGCAAGAAGCUCAGGAGGCGGUGGCGUGAUGAAGUCCCACAGCGGUGGCUAGUCCAAGCACCACACCGGUGGGUUCGAGACGUCAAUUUCUCCCAUGCUGGGCGGAAUUUG
RNAcentral lists this long non-coding RNA (2536 nucleotides) under Zea mays. RNAcentral describes it as "long non-coding RNA (ZMAY_LNC002409)". The record is from RNAcentral. Lineage: Eukaryota; Viridiplantae; Streptophyta; Magnoliopsida; Poales; Poaceae.